AGAACAUCAAAAGGAGUUGCACGAUCCUUUGGUAAAGAUUCUCCAACAGACCACUGGCAUAGCAUUAUUGAAUCCCUCAGCAUAUUGUUGUGUACACUGAAAGAGAAUUUUGUCAGAAACUUAUUAUUUUAUAAACACUAAGCAGUUAUUUUCGUUGUUGCCUUGUUUAUGCUAUUUUCACACCACCACCACCACCAUCUUUUGGGUUUUUGGUGCCUCCAGUACUUAACCAAAAGAUCUUUACUCAAACAUUCCAAUAUAUUAAUGUACAGCUCUUCAACAGUCUUCUACAUCGCGAUUGUUGCACAUUCAGCAAUGAAGAAUGUAUUAAAGCUGGAUUAGGAGAACUGGAGCUGUGGUGCUACCAAGCAAAGGAAGAGUAUGCAGGACCAUCUUGGGAUGAACUUAAGCACACAAGACAGGCUGUUGGAUUCUAGGUAAGUGUGCCUUUGUCUCUUUGAUGAUGCGGCGUCAUAUUGGUAAUAGGAUGAACACUAUUAAAGCAGAGGACAGAAGGCAUCCACUUCUCUUGCAUCAUGGGUGUCUCAAACAUGAUGAUAUUUGUACUCCGAUAGGAACUUUUGGGAGAAUCACAUCCCAAAGGAUAGCUCAGGACUUUGGAGAGUCCAAAAUCAUUAUAAACGUUACUUUAAAAUACUUUCUGAUUUGGAAUUUACGUCCCAUGCCUUGCAGCAUUCCACCAUGCUCUAUAGUCCCACCACCUCGGUGGGUUGCUUUUGUGCAAGCUUCUUGGCCCUGGCUAACACUCGCCACUAAUUAAUACCACACAAGUACAACUAAGUAUAGUGGAAGGUUCUAAUACCAAUUGAUAGGAACUUCAGGGAAAAUCACACUCUAGAAGCUAACCCGUUAGAUUGGAUAGCCCAAAGUCAUUAUAAACUCUAUUAAAAUUCUGUUCU
Prosopis cineraria is the source of this 920-nucleotide long non-coding RNA. RefSeq lists it as uncharacterized. The transcript has 3 exons. The record is from RefSeq and is a predicted model, not a curated record. NCBI's taxonomy places the organism in Eukaryota, Viridiplantae, Streptophyta, Magnoliopsida, Fabales, Fabaceae.